GACGAACGCUGGCGGCGUGCUUAACACAUGCAAGUCGAACGGAAAGGCCCUGCUUUUGUGGGGUGCUCGAUUGGCGAACGGGUGAGUAACACGUUAGUAACCUGCCCUUGACUUUGGGAUAACUUCAGGAAACUGGGGCUAAUACCGGAUAGGAUCUCCUGCUGCAUGGUGGGGGUUGGAACGUUUCGGCGGUUGGGGAUGGACUCGCGGGUUAUCAGCUUGUUGGUGGGUUAGUGGCUUACCAAGGCUUUGACGGGUAGCCGGCCUGAGAGGGUGAACGGCCACAUUGGGACUGAGAUACGGACCAGACUCCUACGGGAGGCAGCAGGGGGGAAUAUUGCACAAUGGGCGGAAGCCUGAUGCAGAAACGCCGCGUGCGGGAUGACGGCCUUCGGGUUGUAAACCGCUGUAGCCUGUGACGAAGCGUGAGUGACGGUAAUGGGUAAAGAAGCACCGGCUAACUACGUG
Molecule: ribosomal RNA, 468 nt
Filed under: uncultured bacterium
Lineage: Bacteria
Description: partial 16S ribosomal RNA
Rfam family: Bacterial small subunit ribosomal RNA
Source: RNAcentral